GAGGGAGAGGCAGCAGCAGCAGGCCCCGGUGUGGUAGAGGCAGCAGCAGCAGGCCCUGGUGUGGUAGAAACAGCUGCUUGCACAAGUAGUGAGAGUGCUGAGGGAGAUGCAGCAGCAGCAGGCCCCAGUGCAGUAGAGGCAGCAGCAGCAGGCCCCAGUGCAGUAGAGGCAGUGCUAGUAACCAAGCAGCACAGUUCUAAACAGUGCCAUCUUUAGACACACUAAAAAGUGCUUUAUUCUCAUGUGGGUAAAUGGAGAGGAGAGUUAAAUCUGUGAAAGGUCUAUUCCAGACCUGUGGGAAACUCUGACCACUAAUGGUUCCAUUAAACCUGCUCUGAGCUGUCGCUUUCCUUGUUACUGUAUUUGUCCUGUGGUCACAGCUUGGUCUAGCUAAUGACAGAGGAAAGCAUGUGGAUUAAUCUUAGGUCGACAGACACACAAUGGGCCUGAGUCACAGCAGAUGUUUACUAAUUACAGCAUGAUCAACCCCCUUCGUUACACUCAAAGGCACAAUGCGUUCACAUUGGAAUAGGCUGACCUGGGAAUACUGUGUCCCAACCCAAAUGAGCACUGUGCAACACUGUGUGGUGCAAACAGAUUGGUUAAUGGAAGCUGUGGGUUAGUUAGGAUGACAAGAGCAAGCAAUGACUCAAGCAUGUUUCAAUGUUUACUGGUCUUGUUUAGUAGAUAUCAUAUAAGAGUAACUGUUCACAUUGGGUUUGUAACCUCAGAUCACUGUGUCUUUUCACUAUUUGCGUAUUUAAAUGUUACCCACAAACAAGGGAGUUUCUCAAAGCACCACUCAAUUAAAUAAUCAUGCUAGUUAUCGACUAUAUAUGUCCAGGUCGUGGGUUUUUCACUGUAAUGUCCACUAUGGUGUGCAGAAAAAAAUGUGUGUAUAUGUGCCUCUCUGUUGUCAAUACCCUAUGAGUGUCUGUAUGUGUGUAUUUCUUUCCCGACCAUGUGGGAGGCAAUUAGAAGGCCUGCAGCAGCGGACCAGGGACACAACAGUACAAGGGGAAUAACUUAUUCAUGUGGAGACAUUGGUGGAUAGCAUUUCAAUCCCCAAACCUUGUCGUCAGCCGCACACCGCAAGCCGCACCGAAGCUCGUUUUCAGCCACAGCCAGGGGUUUUAAUAAUGCAACAUUACUAAACCAACUGUGAAGCAAAAACAAAGAGAGGACGUGACACUCGUCAAGCCAACAUCUGUUCCAUGCCGACCAACAACACCCAUCUGUUGUGCAACAGCAUUCUUGCCACCAGCAACAUACCUGUGGCCUUCAGCUGGACAACUUAUGUGCGCUAUGGUUAGAAUGCAGACAGACAAUACAGAGCCCAAAAAAGGUGAUAAAUUGCUCGUGGUGACAUUCAACUGGACUUACCCGUUGAAGACUCAACAACCGGUGGAUAAAGAUCUCCGCUUCCCUUCCUGUACACUUUGAGGAGGCACAAUUGUUUCCCUCUCUCUCUCUCUGAAAAAAGAAAGAAAAGCUGUGUUCAAGCCAACAAUGAAAUCAACUCUGAAGAAUACUGGAUAUGGCGCUAGUCUGCGCCACCGAAUACGCUUAGAGCAACGCUUCUGACAUCUGACCUGCCUACCUGUCAUGGCCUGUGAUAUGCUGCAAAGUACUGCGGUGUUGAGGUCAAUUUGGACAAGGAGAGAGUGAGAAGAGGAGGAGAGAGAGAGGGGGAGAAAGAGAGAGGGAGGGAGGGAGGGAGAGUGAGAGAGAGAGAGAGAGAGAGGGAGAG
This is a long non-coding RNA of Clupea harengus (Atlantic herring), 1750 nucleotides long. Lineage: Eukaryota; Metazoa; Chordata; Actinopteri; Clupeiformes; Clupeidae. The record is from Ensembl.